UGGGGAAUAUUGGACAAUGGGCGAAAGCCUGAUCCAGCCAUGCCGCGUGUGUGAAGAAGGUCUUCGGAUUGUAAAGCACUUUAAGUUGGGAGGAAGGGCAGUAAGCGAAUACCUUGCUGUUUUGACGGUACCGACAGAAUAAGCACCGGCUAACUCUGUGCCAGCAGCCGCGGUAAUACAGAGGGUGCAAGCGUUAAUCGGAAUUACUGGGCGUAAAGCGCGCGUAGGUGGUUCGUUAAGUUGAAUGUGAAAGCCCCGGGCUCAACCUGGGAACUGCAUCCAAAACUGGCGAGCUAGAGUAGGGCAGAGGGUGGUGGAAUUUCCUGUGUAGCGGUGAAAUGCGUAGAUAUAGGAAGGAACACCAGUGGUGAAGGCGACCACCUGGGCUCAUACUGACACUGAGGUGCGAAAGCGUGGGGAGCAAACAGG
RNAcentral lists this ribosomal RNA (429 nucleotides) under Pseudomonadota bacterium. Its description in RNAcentral is "Proteobacteria bacterium partial 16S ribosomal RNA". It matches the Rfam family "Bacterial small subunit ribosomal RNA", at positions 355 to 776 of the family's 1533-position model. The record is from RNAcentral. Lineage: Bacteria; Pseudomonadati; Pseudomonadota.